UAGUAAGAUUAGAUUUGUAGAUAGAUAAAAAUAUUAUUCUUAAAUAGAUUAAUCAUAACUGAUAUUUUUCUAACAAAUUAAAUAUAACCAUUCAGUUUUAUUUAAAAUAUUUUUCAAUAAAUUAAUUAUAAUCGUUCGUAAAGAUUUUUUUUUUUUUUUGAUUCCGUCUGUACGCUUUUAUAUAUAGUAUAGAUAUAAAUAGAUAUAGAUAAAGAUAGAUUUUAUAUAUAUAUAUAUAUAUAUAUAUUGG
This 250-nucleotide long non-coding RNA is filed under the name Ananas comosus (pineapple). RNAcentral describes it as "long non-coding RNA (ACOM_LNC014143)". The record is from RNAcentral. Lineage: Eukaryota; Viridiplantae; Streptophyta; Magnoliopsida; Poales; Bromeliaceae.